AAGUCGUAACAAGGUCUCCGUAGGUGAACCUGCGGAGGGAUCAUUACCGAGAUGAGGGCCCCGCGCGCCGACCUCCCAACCCUCUUGUCGAUUCAGUACCGCUGUUGCCUCGGGGCGACCGGACGUUCGGCGUCGGGGCCCCCGGAGGACACCAAUUCAAACUCUGCAUCUGUUGCGUCGGUUCAUUAUGAUGAAUCAAUCAAAACUUUCAACAACGGAUCUCUUGGCUUCUGGCAUCGAUGAAGAACGCAGCGAAAUGCGAUAAGUAAUGUGAAUUGCAGAAUUCAGUGAAUCAUCGAAUCUUUGAACGCACAUUGCGCCCCUUUGGCUAUUCCGAGGGGCAUGCCCGUUCGAGCGUCAUUUCACCACUCAAGCCCGACUUGGUGUUGGGUCCCGGGGGUGACCCGGACCUCAAUGUCUCGCGGCUGGAACACCCCGAAUCUCAGCGUUGUGGAAAUCAAAUUCGCUCUGCAGAAAGGGUGGCCCAUCGCCGUUAAACAUCUUAUUUACAGGUUGACCUCGGAUCGGGUAGGGAUACCCGCUGAACUUAA
This 551-nucleotide ribosomal RNA is filed under the name uncultured fungus. RNAcentral's name for it is "eukaryotic LSU rRNA". The stretch from base 204 to 360 matches the Rfam family "5.8S ribosomal RNA". The record is from RNAcentral. Lineage: Eukaryota; Fungi.